AGUCACGAGUUUGAUCCGUGGCUCAGGAUGAACGCUAGCGGCAGGCCUAACACAUGCUAAGUCGAGGGGUAGAGUUCUUCGGGACUUGAGACCGGCGCACGGGUGCGUAACGCGUAUGCAAUCUACCUUAUACAGGGGAAUAGCCCAGAGAAAUUUGGAUUAAUGCCCCAUAGUGUUAUCGAAUCGCAUGGUUUGAUAACUAAAGUUCCAACGGUAUAAGAUGAGCAUGCGUCCCAUUAGUUAGUUGGUAAGGUAACGGCUUACCAAGACAAUGAUGGGUAGGGGUCCUGAGAGGGAGAUCCCCCACACUGGUACUGAGACACGGACCAGACUCCUACGGGAGGCAGCAGUGAGGAAUAUUGGUCAAUGGGCGCAAGCCUGAACCAGCCAUGCCGCGUGCAGGAAGACGGUCCUAUGGAUUGUAAACUGCUUUUAUACAGGAAGAAACCCUCCCACGUGUGGGAGCUUGACGGUACUGUAGGAAUAAGGAUCGGCUAACUCCGUG
This 505-nucleotide ribosomal RNA is filed under the name uncultured bacterium. RNAcentral's name for it is "bacterial SSU rRNA". It matches the Rfam family "Bacterial small subunit ribosomal RNA", at positions 1 to 507 of the family's 1533-position model. The record is from RNAcentral.